UCCGGUUGAUCCUGCCGGAGGCCACUGCUAUCGGAGUCGAUUACGCCAUGCGAGUCGAGAGGUGCAAGACCUCGUGCAUACUGCUCAGAUAACACGUGGACAAUCUAACCUACGGAGGGGGAUAACCCCGGGAAACUGGGGAUAAUACCCCAUAGACUAUGGAUGCUGGAAUGCACUGUAGUUGAAAGGUCCGCCGCCGUAGGAUGGGUCUGCGGCCGAUUAGGUUGUUGUUGGGGUAACGGCCCAACAAGCCUGUAAUCGGUACGGGUUGUGGGAGCAAGAGCCCGGAGAUGGAUUCUGAGACACGAAUCCAGGCCCUACGGGGCGCAGCAUGCGCGAAAACUUUACAAUGCGGGAAACCGUGAUAGGGGAACUCCGAGUGCCCGUUAAAUCGGGCUGUCCAUUGGUUUAAAUAACCAGUGAAGAAAGGGCCGGGCAAGACCGGUGCCAGCCGCCGCGGUAAUACCGGCGGCUCGAGUGGUGGCCACUAUUACUGGGCUUAAAGCGUUCGUAGCUGGUUAGUUAAGUCUCUGGGGAAAUCUUCCGGCUUAACCGGAAGGCGUCUCAGGGAUACUGGCAGACUAGGGACCGGGAGAGGUGAGGGGUACUCCAGCGUGUAGGAGUGAACUCCUGUAAUCCUUGGGGGAACAACUGUGGAGAAAGCGCCUCC
RNAcentral lists this ribosomal RNA (670 nucleotides) under uncultured archaeon. Its description in RNAcentral is "bacterial SSU rRNA". It matches the Rfam family "Archaeal small subunit ribosomal RNA", at positions 1 to 679 of the family's 1478-position model. The record is from RNAcentral.